UUAGGUCAAGAAAUGCUGUAUAAAGGACAUAAGGAGUGUGUCACCUUAAUAGCGGCGAUGAUGAUGUGCUUGAUUCUGUGUGUUAGUGAGGAUAGGCUAUCACUGGUUAGCUGGUAUUGGUAGAGCGGGGCACCACCACAGUGAAAUGUAUCAAGUUAUUUAUAUUACAGCAACACUUACAAAUUAACUCAUCCAUUUCCCUUCAAGCAAUAGUUCUAACACCUUUAAUUUAAUGAUUGAAUGUUUCCUUCCUUCUUUUUUCAUUUCCUUGUUUUCUCUGACACAUUUUCUCUGAUUUUUCGUUUUUCUUCAGUUUUCUCUCUCAUCCAUUCUCUCUCCUCCUCCUCCUCCUCCUCUGUCUAUCUUUAUUCCGUCCUUUCUUUUAAUGUCUAACUUAUCUUUUGCUUGAUCUUUCUGGUGGUCAAAUCUUGCAUCUCAUUUCCUAUCAUUCAUUAUCUCUCCUCCUCCUCCUCCUCCUCUCUGUCUAUCUUCAUCCCUUCCUUCCUUUUAAUAAGUCCAAGUUAUCUUUUGCUUAAUUAACAUUUAUAAUUCUUUCUGGUGGUCAAAUCUUGCAUCUCAUUUCCUUUUGUCCAUUCUCUCUCCUCCUCCUCUUCCUCCUCCUCUCUAUACAUCUUCAUCCUUUCCUUUCUUUUAAUAAGUCCAAGUUAUCUUUUGCUUAAUUAACGUUUAUAAUUCUUUCUGGUGGUCAAAUCUUGCAUCCCAUUUCCAUUCGUUCAUUCUCUCUCCUCCUCCUCCUCCUCUCUAUAUAUAUAUCUUCAUCCCUUCCUUCCUUUUAAUUAAUGUCUAAGUUAUCUUUUGCUCAAGGUUCUUUCCAGUGUGUUUGUGGUGUCCGGCUCUGCUUGCUAGUUUGUUUUGUCACUGUAUAAUUGUCAGUCCUAGUUUUUGUCACUGUAUAAUUGUCAGUCCUAGUUUGUUUUGUCACUGUAUAUUUGUCAGUCCUAGUUUGUUUUGUCACUGUAUAAUUGUCAUUCCCAGCCAGGCGCCUCUUCCAUGUAAAGAUAUCGGCAGCUUCAAGCCUUGCCGAUAUCUCAAUCCGUACGUGAAUGUAAAUUAACCGAAAUCCUUGUUACUAAGCCCUGCACGGUGCUCUCUCACAUAAUGCUUCUUUAAAUUUUCAGUCUCACUUAACUUCCGGGGUUAGUAAUAUAUUUUGCCAUGAGUUAACUCCCCGUGAUGGCCAGUUUCAUGUAAUAUAUAUAAGUAAUUUGCCUUUUGCAUGGCUGUAAUUCUGCAUCAGUGUCUAAGGCCCAGUUUCACAGUUCCUCAUGAUAGGUUAGUAAGCUCCGAAACCAAUACCAGAGCCUUCGAAAUUUCCUUGUACGGUGUCUGGAGUUUAUAUUCAAGUUCACAAAUUUGACGAGACUAUACAGGAAAGGUCUUGUGUGUUUAUGCUACGAAGGAAAGGGAGGAGAAGGGAGAUGAGAUUGGGAGACGAGUGAGCCGAGAUCCUGUUUAUAUUCAAGUUCACAAAUUUGACAAGACUAUACAGGAAAGGUCUUGUGUGUUUAUGGUACGAAGGAAAGGGAAGAGAAGGGAGAUGAGAUUGGGAGACGAGUGAGCCGAGAUCCUGGUUAUAUUAAAGUUCACAAAUUUGACAAGACUAUACAGGAAAAGCUGUGUUUAUGAUAUGAAGGAAAGGGAAGAGAAGGGAGAUGAGUAAGCUGAGAUCCUGUUUAUAUUCAAGUCCACAAAUUUGACGACACAAUACAGGAAAAGCUCUUUGUAUUUAGUGUGUCAUCGAAGACCGCGCUAUUUUGAACAGUAUGGGAUUCUAUAGCUUGGUUCGGGAGUGUUACAAAGAUUGUGUUGGACUGUGGAAGCGGCCCUUAAUGUUCCCUUUUCUAAUAUGCCUCUCUGUUUUUGCAGGAUGCCGCGGACGGACCAUGCAGAGGACUCAUCGCGACGACACCAACGGUUUGGUUAAGUGGGUUCUCUUGUGUGUGCGUCUGUGUGUGAAUGGCAGGCCUGUCGUAUGAUUGUGUGUGUGUGUGCGUUGGCGGUAUGCCUUCGCACUAUUAUUUUGUUAGGAUGUAUUUUUUUGUGUGUGAACUUUUUGCACGUAAUCUUUUUUUAUACCCAUAGCUAGCGUUUGUUUGUGUAGCUGUGUUCCGGGAGAUGGGCGCCGGGGGACAUGGGCUGGGGGGGGCGCACGUGACCUCCUCUGUCCGUGACCUCUUCAGCUGGGGAGACCGCGUGUUGCCCCGGCUGGAGAGACACGUUGAUGGAGGCGGCUGCGUGUGUCGUCCCUUGCCUGUAUCCUCUGGCGUCCAGAGGCGCGUAAGUGGAGAGCAUCGGCGCAGCGCGGGAGCAGCACGUCAGGGUGUAGGGUGUUUGUUUAGCUGGUGUAGGGUGUUAGGGUGUUAGGUGUAACAACGGUUGGCUCUUUCACAGAACGGGUGUGAUUCCGUUCUGCGUUUGAGUCUUCCACCUUCAGACGGUCUCCCUCUGAGAUGUCUGAAGUUUUUUUUGUCGGUUUUCUCCGUAGGAGGAAGCCGGCUCUAGCUACUCUGGCCUCUCUUCCGGGGGUCAGAGCGGUCGGGCUCUGCUUGGCCAGGCGUUAGUCUUUCGCGUUGUCUCCGCCGACGUUUUGCCAGACUCUUCCGUAAGGUUGAGCCUGGCUUUUUUAUUAGGUGGAUCAGGCUGCCUUCUUCCAAGGAGUCUGAUGGGAGUGGAGUCUUUUUUUUGGUGUAUGUCUGUGGGUACUUAGUGGGUAAGGGAGGGUGGGGUAGAAUGGUUGGUGGGCUGGAAGUGGGUUGGGGGAUGAGCCUCCUGGGAUUUGGGUUGUGUCGAGCCUUACUGCCUGGUGUGUUGGGUAAACCUUCACACCAGGGGGGGGGUGCCAAGACUAUAUCCAUCUCCUGGUGCAGGGCGAUUCCCCUUUCCCAUGCUAACUGGCCCUCCUCCGUCUGCCUCCCCAAACCCCCGCUAAGUGCUUGUGUGUGUUAUUUUAUUUAGGAUGUCUUUUUUUUGUAUGCCUUUUUCCCGUGUGUUUAUACCCAAUAGCUAGCGUGUGUGUGUGGCAGUCCGGAGGCGCGUGCAGCGAGGACAUCACAUCACGUCACUACGGUAUAUCCACGGUAUUUGGUUUAGUGUGUGCUGUGUGUGUUUGUGUGUGUGAUGGCAGGCCUGCCGUGUGUUUGAUCUUUUGCUGUGUGUUGCUGUGUGACUGCUAGGAUUUCAUUUCUAUGUAUGUUUUUUUCCCCAUAACCCCCUUCCUCCCUAGCUCUUUAGCUGUUGUCCCUGGCUAGGCGCUGGGUGGAUGCUGCCGGGCGACCAACGGCGGUGGCGGUGUGCAACGCGGGAGCUGCUGAGGUUUGGGUAGCACUACGGUGCAGGUUAUGUAGGGUGUGUGAGUUUUUUUUUUGUGUGAGUGUCUUUUUUUUGUGUGGGGACUUAGCUAAUCACUGUGUCAGGAAGGCAUGGGCGUGGCCGUCUGUCCAUCAGGCCGACGGGCGGGUGUGCCACCUGGCAGUCAGGCUAGCAGGUGACAGGCAAGCUAUCUGGUGGUCAGGCUGUCAGUCGGGCCAUCAGAUAGGUAGGCAGGCCACCUUGCGGUCAGGUUGUCGGGCGGGCACCCCACCCUCGGUCAGGUAGGCAGGCAGCAGCGUCUACGCUGAACCGUACGGCCACACGUACGAACGCACGGAACCCGUACGCUACGUUCCGCCGCACUGACGCUCGUCGUACCUCUGCUCGCACG
Eriocheir sinensis (Chinese mitten crab) is the source of this 3721-nucleotide long non-coding RNA. RefSeq lists it as uncharacterized. The record is from RefSeq and is a predicted model, not a curated record. The transcript has 3 exons. NCBI's taxonomy places the organism in Eukaryota, Metazoa, Arthropoda, Malacostraca, Decapoda, Varunidae.